AUUGAACGCUGGCGGCAGGCCUAACACAUGCAAGUCGAGCGGAUGAAGGGAGCUUGCUCCUGGAUUCAGCGGCGGACGGGUGAGUAAUGCCUAGGAAUCUGCCUGGUAGUGGGGGCUAACGUCCGGAAACGGGCGCUAAUACCGUAUACGUCCUGAGGGAGAAAGUGGGGGAUCUUCGGACCUCACGCUAUCAAAUGAGCCUAGGUCGGAUUAGCUAGUUGGUGGGGUAAAGGCCUACCAAGGCGACGAUCCGUAACUGAUCUGAGAGGAUGAUCAGUCACACUGGAACUGAGACACGGUCCAGACUCCUACGGGAGGCAGCAGUGGGGAAUAUUGGACAAUGGGCGAAAGCCUGAUCCAGCCAUGCCGCGUGAGUGAAGAAGGUCUUCGGAUUGUAAAGCACUUUAAGUUGGGAGGAAGGGCAGUAAGUUAAUACCUUGCUGUUUUGACGGUACCAACAGAAUAAGCACCGGCUAACUUCGUG
RNAcentral lists this ribosomal RNA (484 nucleotides) under uncultured bacterium. RNAcentral describes it as "partial 16S ribosomal RNA". It matches the Rfam family "Bacterial small subunit ribosomal RNA", at positions 30 to 507 of the family's 1533-position model. The record is from RNAcentral.